This 305-nucleotide ribosomal RNA is filed under the name Helicobacter pylori. RNAcentral describes it as "bacterial SSU rRNA". It matches the Rfam family "Bacterial small subunit ribosomal RNA", at positions 418 to 740 of the family's 1533-position model. The record is from RNAcentral. Lineage: Bacteria; Pseudomonadati; Campylobacterota; Epsilonproteobacteria; Campylobacterales; Helicobacteraceae.
AAGGAUUGUAAACUCCUUUUGUUAGAGAAGAUAAUGACGGUAUCUAACGAAUAAGCACCGGCUAACUCCGUGCCAGCAGCCGCGGUAAUACGGAGGGUGCAAGCGUUACUCGGAAUCACUGGGCGUAAAGAGCGCGUAGGCGGGAUAGUCAGUCAGGUGUGAAAUCCUAUGGCUUAACCAUAGAACUGCAUUUGAAACUACUAUUCUAGAGUGUGGGAGAGGUAGGUGGAAUUCUUGGUGUAGGGGUAAAAUCCGUAGAGAUCAAGAGGAAUACUCAUUGCGAAGGCGACCUGCUGGAACAUUAC